Molecule: long non-coding RNA, 1731 nt
Filed under: Rattus norvegicus (Norway rat)
Lineage: Eukaryota; Metazoa; Chordata; Mammalia; Rodentia; Muridae
Description: long non-coding RNA NONRATT020412
Source: RNAcentral
ACCAGCAAGAUGGAAAGAACCAUGCACAAUCCCCUGGAUGUGAGGAGAGUGAUGCUGGCAAGGAGGAAUUAAUGAAGAUGAGACUUCCUACUCGCUCAGACAUGAUAUGUGGCUAUGCUUGCCUUAAAGGGAGGGUAGAAGAUGGAAUAGAAGUCUGACUUUGUGAGACUUGCCCAUGACCUUCACACCCCUGGUUGUAGGCAAUGCUGCCAUGCGGAAUACCAAACGGGGUUCCUGGUACAUUGAGGCCCUCACUCAGGUGUUCUCUGAGAGAGCUUGUGACAUGCACGUGGCCGACAUGCUUGUUAAGGGAUAUGAGAUUCUCCCAAGCUUGUUUCCUGUCAGCCAUCUCCGUCUUUGGGGGUGAAACUUGAGGACAGCUCCUCUGGUGUGGUGUUCUCUUCCUGUAGAGCCAGCUAUGAAUGGAUCUGUUGCCAGAAGCAUUUUGGCUAUAGCCAAUGAGACUAGAAAAUGACAUUGUGAACACAGUAUUAUUGUGGGGAGAGGGCAUACGGAUUUCUCAAUGUUUGUGAUAUUUUUGUUCCCAGGGCUCUUAGGGAUACUUUGAUUAUUGCUUUUUUAUAUCAGUUAAGGACUUUCAGAUAUCAUCUCCUACUUUUUUUUUCAUAUCUGCAACCUCAUUUUUUCCAUAGUGAAGAUUUGGAAAAUGUCCCAAUUUAAUGCAGUUGUUGUCAUCUGUCAUGAAGCGGCAGGUGAGACCCUGCUACUUGAGCAGAAGUUUCAGACCUUUGAGUUCAGGCCUUAGGUGAAGGACAGUCCCUCAGCCUUUCCAUUGGUUUCUUUGUGUUCAUUGUACCCAGCUUUUGAGCAGAGCCUGGGGUCUGCUUGCUGUGACACUGGAAGUUAUAUACGUUUCCCUGGUUAUGAAUUGUCACUGAAAUGAACCUUAUUGGGCAUAUCAACAUAAAAAUGCAGUGACAGGUGAGUGUGCUGUGUCUCAUACUGUCACUUGUCACCAGGAUAUCUCUCCUUCCUUACUGUGGUUUCUGCUGUGCAGUUAAACUACUUGAUGGCUGACCUCCAAGAACCCUCUUGCUUUGCAUUGGUUCCCCUCCUUGACCCAUUCACUGCUUCUGCCACGUCUGUGAAAUCUUCCUUUGUAGAAUGUUUCUGGCCACUUAAGCAGUACUGCUUCAGCAUAAGGUUUCUUCGGUUUUCUGCGGCAGUGUCUCCAUUCUCACUGUUUCUCUGUUUUAGUGAGGAUAGUACUAUAGGUGAUAUAACCUAGAAGCACUUAUCUCUGCUCUUAUGAAACUUUCUUAUUCUUAAAAACCUUUUGCAUUUCCAUUUUUUUCCUCUUUUCCAGUUUAUUCUCCACAUGACAGAGUAGUUUUGUUUUUUUUUUAAUAUCUGGUGAUGUCACUCCCUUGUUAAGAACAUUAGCUUCCUGUUACACCUCAUCUAAAAUUCAAAUUCUUACCCAGUUUAUGAGAUCCGGCUUUUACGUUCCCUUUGGAUCUCAUUAGAUGGUGAUUUCUCUCUGUGUUCAGCCCCUCAGUUCCUCAGCUCAGUGUUGCAAGUGUUCUGACCUAUGGUAGUUGAGGUGCUCAAUUAAUGUUUGUCGUAUGAACCAGGUGGUUUGAAGACUUGCUGCCAAAUUCUGCCUUUGGGUCAGUAUAGGAUGCAUGAGUGGUAGACUCUUCACACUUCCCACUGCCAAGAUUUUGUAUUGCCAUCAGGUGCCAAAUAAAUGUCGAUACUUACUACUGA